ACCUGGCCCGCGCUCACCUUGAGGCCGCGGAUCUCGCCGAGGUGCAGCUGCAGGCGGCGGUUCACCUCGCGGAUGAGGUUGCUGUGGUCCAGCAUCGCGCUCACCUUCUCCGCCUCGGCGCGCCGCAGGCUGCGGAUCAGCUCCUCCUUGCUCCACUGCAGCAGCUCCUCGUCCGACACUUUGGACAGGUCCUCCACCGGCGCGGGCGGGGCCGCGGACGAGCCGGCCGGGGCUGGGGAACAACUUUCCGCCGCCGCCGCAGCCGCCGCCGCGCCUCCGGCCGCCUUCGACAUGGUAUCCGCGGGGUGGCAGGUGCAAGUGGGUGGAAGAGGCGAGGCGACUCCCGAAGGCGCGGGCGCGGCGAGGCCGCCUCCGCCCACACCCCUGUGCGCUCCGGCGAGUCAGCGGCACCGCCCAGGGGCCGCUGGGUUGGGGCGGCGGGGGUCGCGCUGGGUGGCCAUCCUACCUCGCCAUCCCCGCGCGCGCGCCCGCGCUCCCCCAGGGCCCGGCAGCCAGCCGCUUGCUGCUGCCGAGGCCCGUCCCAACUCCGCGCAAGUCCAUGGUGAGGGGCACUGGGGAGCCCGGGGCUGCCGCGGGAAAUCCUCGGGGACAGCGGGGGAGCUGCACCGCCGUUCCCCUGCCCUCUCCUCCGCCCUAAGCCGAGACUGUCGCCCCCCGCACUCUCUGCCCUGCACACAGGCGUGCACGCACACGCACUUUCCUCCCCCUUGCCCAGCUGCAGCCCCCGGCUUCUCCCCUCUCCUAGCUUGGAGGGCGCGCCGGGCACCGCGGCGCCUCCCCGGCUGCUCUAGCGACGCCGCCGCGGCUGCCCGAAGGCUGCUGCGCUCCUCCUGCCGCCUUCGCUGCGCCCGCGGCCGCUCCUAGGCUGCUCCGGAAAGCCUUCGAUUUGCAGAGCGGAGUCGAGAAGGGGUGGAGGGUGGGGGACCGGCUGGAGGAGGAGCCUGGAGCUGGGGCCACCCGUAACCCGCAGCAGCUCCCGCAUGGGCUGGACGCAGCUGCCACUCGACCGCUGCCCGGGCCCUCGAGGUGCGCUCCCGGCUGUCCUGCCCGGGAGGGCUGGGGGCGCGGCUCUUUCUGCGCCCGGGCGGGUGGGGCUGGAAUGGGGAGAAGGUGAGGAGCUGUGGCCGCCCGGUCUUUGGGAGGCUCGCGCGCGCCACCGUGUGGCGGAAGAAGCUCCCUCCUCUGCCCUCUGCACACCGGCCUUGUCACCAGGCAGGGGAAACAGCUGCUGACCCAAAUGCGAGGUGCUUCGUAUUUGGAGGGAUCGGGGAUCAGGAAAGAUGGGGUAGCAGGACCUGAGGGAUAACCAGUUAUUUGCACUUUGGAGAAUGGGAGGAGAGGCAAAUGGCAAAAACGGGGGUUGGGGAAAGGGGCAGCUUAAGAAAAUCCAAAUGGUCUGAAAAGGGCGAAAAGAGGCGUCAGGGCACUGCUCUUAUGGGGCUACCCAUCCCCACCCCCCACUCUCGCCCCACCCCUAGGCCUUUGUGUUUUCUAAAAAUCCACUACUCUAUGAAGAAGCUUCGGGAGAAGGUACUGGAUCUUUUAAAUUUUUAUUUGAAAAAUAUCAAAGCCUUUAGGCGAAAAUAAAAUACCUUCAUCUCCUGCUUCCUGAAACCUGGAUUUUAAGGUCAGCACAGUCACCUCCCCUCGGAGCAAAGCAAGCCCCCUCAGGCAAGCUGAAAUGCCAGCCAAGGAGAUUUCCAUUUUCUUCUAUGCCGCAGGCUGCCAGGCGUUUACUGGGUCGGCUUUUUUAUGAUGGUUAUUUCUGGAAGGAGGAAGUCUGAGUCCCUGGCUUCUAUCUUUGGGCUAUCCUCUUGUAAAGUUGGGUGGAAUCGUCUCUGGGCUGAAAACAUGCUUUUGCCUAAAGAGGUGGAUGCCCUUGACCACCGCAUGUUAUUUCCAGUGGGGUACAGGGCCGGAAAAUGGCAAGGAUCUACCCCCACCGGGUUUCAGUUAACCCGGGUGCAGAGGGAAUAAUCUCUAUCUGGUAGGAUGAUAAUCAAAAUCAGUCCCUUCACCCGCCGGUCAGUGCGUGUCCCCUAUUGGGGACACUGAGACCUGGCUCCCGGGAGAGGCAAGGAAAUGUGGUACUGCUUACGGUGACCAAAUGGCCUUAACAUUCCCCUCAGCUUAACUAAACUUUAGACAGGUUUCUUCCUAACUGUAGGCCCCAGACCUUCCUUUUCUCAGAGCAUUUACUUUAGCCAACUUCCAUUGGUGAAUGUUUCCUCUGACCCUUUGACAUGUAAAUCUCUCCGCCUCUUGCUGGGUUUUACAGCCUGGGGAUCUUUCUCAGGGAUCUGUGAGGCAUCCCUUUGAAAUGUAAUCAUCAAGGAAAAAAGGGUCCCUAUCUCCUAGUGUUUGUGGAGAGGAGGAGCCUAACUUUAAUAAGUUCCAAUUAGGAAACACAAAUGGCCUCAUUACACUGACCAACUUCCCAUCCUAAUCUCCUCCACUAGUCUUCUACUAGUUCCCCUCUCCCUCCCUCUCUCUCUUCCCUAUUGCAAUAGCCUUGAAUAAUUCCCCCUUGUCUGUUUAACUAUAUCGGAUGCAAUUUUUCUUUGACACCUCCAAGCCGCUCUCACGCCCACAGAAGGCUCUGCUCAACACAGUUCCUAAGACCAGUUUUGUCACAGAAAGGGAAAGUGAAGGUCAGAAAAAGAUAAGUCCUAUCUCUGUUACUUGUUAGUUCUUGUCCUUGAACAAACCAUCCGACCUUACUGGCCCUCGGGCAGCUAAUGAUAUGGUAUACAAGAAGCGCUUGAUCGAGCCACCCUACAGAAAUGCAACCUUACUAUUACUGAUAUUACAUAUUACAUUGGGCAGCCUCUUGUCUAGAAAUAGGAACCAGGACUUCUGUUUAUUCCUCCAUCACGGGUUCUUCAAGAGUCGUAUUCUAAAAUGAAACAGCCAGCCCCCUUCUCUGCUAACUCCCUCUGAUCAGUUAACACCAAAUAGAUAUGAGAAAUCAGAGAGAUGGCUGAGAGGAAAAAUUAGACUUGUGUUGGGAAGACAAGGAAGAAGGAAAGCCAAAAAAAAAAAAAAAGUCUCCACAAAUUAUAUACACUAGCAGUGGAUUACAGUUGAGCUAGAUCACCUUAAGGUUUUCAUGUUUCUAAUUUUGGUCAUUGAUUCAGAAUAAUAAUUAUCUGCAUGAAUGAAUAAUGUUGCUUCAUGUUGCUAAGGUCAUGUAUGGUGUCAGGAGCUUCAUUUGACUGCUAAAAACAGAAACUCAAAAAACAGUCACUUUAAAAAAGUCAUUUAUUUUUUCUCACCUACCUGGUAUUCUAAAGAGAGGCAGCUGAGGGCUGGUAUGGUAUCUUCAUGAGGUCGUCAAAAUCUUAGGCUCCUUCUCUCAGCUCAGUCCCCUUUGGGAUGAUUGCCUCGUGUCCAUAACAUGGUUGGUGGAACUCUAGCCAUCCAGCUACGUGUAAGGCAGGAAGAAGGUAAUAACAACUGCAAAGGGGCACAUGCCCCUUUAAAAACUUUUCCUGGUGGCCGGGGGCGGUGGCUCAUAACUGUAAUCCCAGCACUUUGGGCGUCCGAUGCAGGUGGAUCAUUUGAGGUCAGGAAUUCAAGACCAGCCUGGCCAAUAUGGUGAAACCCCAUCUUUACUAAAAAUACAAAAAUUAGCUGGGCAUGGUGGUGCGUGCCUAUAAUCCCAGCUAUCGGGAGGCUGAGGCAGGAGAAUCGCUUGAGCCUGGGACGCGGAGGUUGUGGUGAGCCAGGAUCGUGCCACUGCACUCCACUCUGGUCGAAAGAGUGAGACCCUGUCUCAAAAAAAAAAAAAAAAAUCCUGGUAAUUGACCCAGUGAAUUUUGUUUAUGUUCUAAUAGGCAGAGCUUACCAUAUAAUCACCUCCCAGCUGCAAGGGAAGCUAGGACAGUGUUUUAAGUUGGGUAUAUUAAAUGGAGAUUUCUGAAAACCAGCCAUAAAUGACCCUACGUCUUUAGUCCUGAUGGUUUUAUAUCAUAUAAUUUUCUUCAGUCAACUCUAUUUCCCCCCAGCUCACUGUUACUCAGCCUAGGUUCUCACUAAGUCUCACCUGGCCCUUCUCACUGGUCCCUCUGACUACUGCAUCACCUCUCUCGAAUCUGCUUUCCACACAACUUCCCAAGUGAAUCAUCUCAAAAAGUCAAGUCUAGCUACUUUACCCCUGAGACAGAUUGAAUUAUUGCUGAUAAUUUUUCACAACCUCCCUACAAAAUUAAUUAACAUCGGCCAGGUGUGGUGGCUCACGCCUGUAAUCCCAGCUCUUUGGGAGGCCAAGGCGGGUGGAUCACGAGAUCAGGAGAUCUAGACCACCCUGGAUAACACGGUGAAACCCCGUCUCUACUAAAAAUACAAAAUAUUAGCCGGGCGUGGUGUCGGGUACCUGUAGUCCCAGCUACUCGGGAGGCUGAGGUGGGAGAAUGGCGUGAACCCAGGAGGCGGAGCUUGCAGUGAGCCAAGAUAGCACCACUGCACUCCAGCCUGACGGCAUAGCGAGACUCUGUCUCAAAAAAAAAAAAAAAAAAAAAUUAACAUCACCUUCCACCAUGUGAUGUUGUAGCACCUCCCCUACAGGGGGCAGUUUUUCUCCCCUCCCUACUGGUAUUGAAAAUCAUAUUGCAAGCAUAUGACUUGCUGUACUAACGCAUGUGUGUGCACCUGACAGUGUACCCCUUCUCUGAAGAGGUCUCAAAAGGCGUCUGUCUGCCCACUCACCCGUCUGUUCUUUCCACGCUUCACCAGGAGAAGAGCUAACCUUGGGUAGCUGCUGUUCCUUCAGUCUGAGCCACACACUCAGCCACCCCAGCCAACCUGAAGAUCUGCAGCAUGAAGCAGAGCUAUGCUCACAGACUCACAGAUCUGUGUGUGAGAAAACAAGACUGUUGUUUAAGCUACCGACUUUUGGGGAGAUUUAUUGUGCAGCAUUACUAAUGCAAUAGUUAGCAGAUACAACUCCCCUGCCUAAAUCCCUUUGGGGGCAUCUCAGCACCUUUCUGUGGAGUGAAGCUACAUUUCUUAGCAGAGCAUGUAAGAUGGACACAGUCUGAUGCUUGCUUACUUUUUCAGCUCCAACUCCUACCAUACUUUGCCUGCCUCAUAUUUCAUACUUUUUCAGUUCUAAACUGCCUUGUAGCUCCCUGUCAGCAUUCAAUAUACCUCCGUACCACACUGAUGCUCUUUUCUCAUGCAUGAAAUGCCUUCCUUGCCUUAUCCUUCUGAAUAACUUCCAACCAGAUCCUUCAAAAGGCAUCAUCUUAUCCAGAGUGCUGGCAUCAGCCCACAUUUCCCUGGCAGAGGCAAAGGUACUAUGGCAGAAAUGGCCAGGGAAGGGUUUAUCUAACCACCAGGAGUACGCAAAGAAGAGAGGUCCAGCCAGCCUGCCUCUCAGAUUGUUAAGAUGCCAGGUGUCUUUUGGCUCAUGGAAACAGCUGUUCUGCCCCCUCCCGAACCCUAGACUCACAGCUACACUCUAUGGGGAAAGGACAAAGGGAAGGCUGCUUCCUGAAGAGAUCUCCAUAUGGAAGAGCUGCAGAUCACAAACAACCCACACAGCCAUUGUAACGCCUGCUUGCCUGGUCACUUGUGUUUCUGAGAAGCCAUAACUCCAAGAAUAGCGAAGGGAAGAAAAUGCCAAAAAGCAGGGGCUGCCUAACAGGUCUGACUUGCAAGGCAAACUCCUGGCAGGCCUGGCCAGCUUCUGCUUGUCCCAGUGCAAUCCCACCCCCAUAGGAUCUGGAAUUUUUCAGUCCCUUUGCUAAGAUUCCUGAAAUAGACUUAAUGAAGAGCCUCAGAAGUGAAAAUUCCUCUUCACACAUUUGCUCAAGAAGAUUGCUUUUCUCCUAACACAGAAAUCAGCUGCCUUGAGGAUGUGCAAGUUUGAUUAGGGAGUCUGCUCUUGCCUAUUUCUCAAACGGUUCAGGCCCUGACAGAAUCAGUGUCACCCCUAAGAAUGAAACCUUCCAAGGGGCCAUGAUCAUAUUGUGACUGGACAAGAACUAUCAUGGAUGAGGCACAUCAUCUUUUGGAACCAUCUAUGGAACAGAUAUUAUUAUUCCAUUUUGCGGAAGAGGAAUCUGAGGCUCAGGCCAGACAGAUGCAGCUAACGUUGAGUGGCAUCCUGAUGAUCACCUUCAUCACAAAAGGAAGGAGUGCUCUGAGGACUGUAGGUGGCUCUCAGAACCCUGACCUCCACGGCAGCCAUCAAGGAGUGGCAAAGGGGGUCCACAGUGGCAUAUGCAGUGAGAUCCAAGUUUUAGGCAUUCGGAGUAGAGCAAGCCACGAAUGAGAACAGGUUCUGAAAGUGACAGAAAAGGAGUCACUUUUUUGGUUCCAUAUGAACUUUAAGGUAGUUUUUUCCCAGUUCUGUGAAGAAAGUCAUUGGUAGCUUGAUGGGGAUGGCAUUGAAUCUAUAAAUUACCUUGGACAGUAUGGCCAUUUUCAUGAUAUUGAUUCUUCCUACCCAUGAGCAUGGAAUGUUCUUCCAUUUGUUUGUAUCCUCUUUUAUUUCCUUGAGCAGUGGUUUGUAGUUAUCCUUGAAGAGGUUCUUCACAUCCCUUGUAAGUUGGAUUCCUAGGUAUUUUAUUCUCUUUGAAGCAAUUGUGAAUGGGAGUUCACUCAUGAUUUGGCUCUCUGUUUGUCUGUUGUUAGUGUAUAAGAAUGCUUGUGAUUUUUGUACAUUGAUUUUGUAUCCUGAGACUUUGCUGAAGUUGCUUAUCAGCUUAAGGAGAUUUUGGGCUGAGACAAUGGGGUUUUCUAGAUAUACAAUCAUGUCAUCUGCAAACAGGGACAAUUUGACUUCCUCUUUUCCUAAUUGAAUACCCUUUAUUUCCUUGUCCUGCCUAAUUGCCCUGGCCAGAACUUCCAACACUAUGUUGAAUAGGAGUGGUGAAAGAGGACAUCCCUGUCUUGUGCCAGUUUUCACAGGGAAUGCUUCCAGUUUUUGCCCAUUCAGUAUGAUAUUGGCUGUGGGUUUGUCAUAGAUAGCUCUUAUUAUUUUGACAUACGUCCCAUCAAUACCUAAUUUAUUGAGAGUUUUUAGCAUGAAGCGUUGUUGAAUUUUGUCAAAGGCCUUUUCUGCAUCUAUUGAGAUAAUCAUGUGGUUUUUGUCUUUGGUUCUGUUUAUAUGCUGGAUUACAUUUAUUGAUUUGUGUAUAUUGAACCAGCCUUGCAUCCCAGGGAUGAAGCCCACUUGAUCAUGGUGGAUAAGCUUUUUGAUGUGCUGCUGGAUUCGGUUUGCCAGUAUUUUAUUGAGGAUUUUUGCAUCAAUGUUCAUCAGGGAUAUUGGUCGAAAAUUCUCUUUUUUGGUUGUAUCUCUGCCCGGCUUUGGUAUCAGGAUGAUGCUGGCCUCAUAAAAUGAGUUAGGGAGUAUUCCCUCUUUUUCUAUUGAUUGGAAUAUCACCAAGUCCAUCCUAAGCCAAAAGAACAAAGCUGGAGGCAUCACACUACCUGACUUCAAACUAUACUACAAGGCUACAGUAACCAAAACAGCAUGGUACUGGUACCAAAACAGAGAUAUAGAUCAAUGGAACAGAACAGAGCCCUCAGAAAUAACACCGCAUAUCUACAAUUAUCUGAUCUUUGACAAACCUGACAAAAACAAGCAAUGGGGAAAGGAUUCCCUAUUUAAUAAAUGGUGCUGGGAAAACUGGCUAGCCAUAUGUAGAA
This 7677-nucleotide long non-coding RNA is filed under the name Homo sapiens (human). RNAcentral's name for it is "non-protein coding lnc-EFEMP1-3:15". Lineage: Eukaryota; Metazoa; Chordata; Mammalia; Primates; Hominidae. The record is from RNAcentral.